RNAcentral lists this ribosomal RNA (673 nucleotides) under uncultured bacterium. Its description in RNAcentral is "bacterial SSU rRNA". It matches the Rfam family "Bacterial small subunit ribosomal RNA", at positions 102 to 807 of the family's 1533-position model. The record is from RNAcentral.
ACGGGUGAGUACAACAUGAGAAGCUGUCCUUCAGCGGGGGACAACGUCUGGAAGCGGACGCUAAUACCCCAUAGGCCGAGAGGUUAAAGCAGAGAUGCGCUGGAGGAGGUGCUCGUGCCCUAUCAGCUAGUUGGUGAGGUAACGGCUCACCAAGGCGACGACGGGUAGCCGGCCUGAGAGGGUGAACGGCCACACUGGAACUGAGAUACGGUCCAGACUCCUACGGGAGGCAGCAGUGGGGAAUAUUGGGCAAUGGGAGGAAUCCUGACCCAGCGACGCCGCGUGAACGAUGAAGGCCUUAGGGUUGUAAAGUUCUUUUAUGUGGGAAGAAGGAAGUGACGGUACCACAUGAAUAAGCCCCGGCUAACUACGUGCCAGCAGCCGCGGUAAUACGUAGGGGGCGAGCGUUGUCCGGAAUUACUGGGCGUAAAGGGCACGCAGGCUGUGAUUCAAGUCAGCUGUAAAAGGAUGCGGCUUAACCGUGUUUAGCAGUUGAAACUGGAUGACUGGAGUGCUGGAGAGGCAAGUGGAAUUCCCAGUGUAGCGGUGAAAUGCGUAGAUAUUGGGAAGAACAUCGGUGGCGAAGGCGACUUGCUGGCCAGUAACUGACGCUGAGGUGCGAAAGCCAGGGUAGCAAACGGGAUUAGAUACCCCGGUAGUCCUGGCUGUAAAC